Molecule: long non-coding RNA, 1457 nt
Organism: Myotis brandtii (Brandt's bat)
Lineage: Eukaryota; Metazoa; Chordata; Mammalia; Chiroptera; Vespertilionidae
Exons: 3
Source: RefSeq, a predicted model, not a curated record
GCUACCUGCACCCUGUCAAGAAAUGGCCCAUGCGAUCAAGAUUAUACAUCGGUGCUACUGGUCCUGGACUAGCUGAGAAGGUGUGGUUGCAGCCACCCUAGAGAGUGAGCCCCCAUGACCCUCAGUCACAGCUUUGGCCGGGCUCCUUCUCCCCUUGUCAGCUUCGGUUCACAGUCUACCUAUUUGGCCAUUAUGACAUGGGAGACAUCCUGUCUGAUUUGGGAAUUCUGCCACUGAUCUGUGCCUCGAGGGGGUCUGAGGACCACCCUGAUACAUCAGGCCAGAGCAGGCCCUCCUGAACCUGCCCCGAUGUGAACCUACAGCCUGGGAAGGCCCUCUGCUCUGGGCCUCUCCUACCACACUGCACAUCAGGUGCCAUAAAGUAGAGAUAAUGGUCAGGGAACAUACUGAAUCUUUAAACACCUGAAGAAAAAUCUCCAAUCUCUUUUGUCAUGUUUCUGCUGCCUUAGAUUUCCUUUUAUUUCCCUUGUUUUUUACUCAGUCUUCUAUUAUUCCACUUUCCAAAUGUAAAGUUCAUUUAUUUCUCAGUGACCCUGUUUUUAAAGUUGCUGAAUUUGAUCCAAGAUUAGCAAACAGAAAGGCAUAUUAAGGGGCUUGGUUGAGUUAAUAUUGCAGUUGAACCACCACUUUAUUUUCUCCUCAGUUUUCUUUAAGGUUUUGGCAGUGAAAUGAAAGACUAUUUAAGGCAAAAACUACCAUUUAGUUCAUUCAGCCAAACAUCAGCAUGUUUUGCCUCCUAUCUGAUAGUUUGUAACUUUCAUUAUUUUAAUGUGAAUAUCUCCUUGUAAUGUGAUGGAAGUGUGUCUUUACAAGAAAAUGUAUUAAUCAAAACUCUGUACAUAUUGAUAUUUAGCAAAAUGUUUGUAUAUUUAAACAUUUGUGAAUAUAUUUACUCAUGUAACACUGAAAGGGAUAAAAAGUAAAAUGAGUUAUGGAUUCAGGCAUUCACUAUUAAAAAAAAGUGCUAAGAAUAAUCUUUUAUCUUAAGGAAUAAAAUCAAAACUUCUUUAAAGUUACCUGAAAAUGAACUAUAAACUCUACAUUUGAUAGGAGGAAUUUCAGAAAAAUGGCUCUCUUGCUAAUCUAUUUGGCUACAGUGCUUACUUAAAGCAUUUAAUUGGGAGAAAUUUAUGACUUGUUGAUUAUCAGACUUUUCUAAAUCAUUGUUAGAUACUUUGCCUUUUAUAGUAUCACUUUUUAUUUCUUCUUGUCCGGUUAUAUAAAUGUGUUAAUGCCAAAGAAGUAUAUUUCUGUCAUGGGUUUUCAUAACUUUUUAGUAAAUUGCUAAAUAUGCUAACAGAUUUUGGUGGGUUGGAAAAUAUCAGAGAGAAAUUGCAUGUUUUCACCCAAAGGUUCAAGGGAGGAUGCUGUUUUCAUUAAUGGUGCAUGGUCAGGAUAAAGAAUAUUACUAAAAUAAAGCACUAAUUGAAAAUUAA